CAAUAAGCGGAGGAAAAGAAACCAACAGGGAUUGCCCUAGUAACGGCGAGUGAAGCGGCAACAGCUCAAAUUUGAAAUCUGGCGCAAGCCCGAGUUGUAAUUUGUAGAGGAUGCUUCUGGGCAGCGGCCGUUCUAAGUUCCUUGGAACAGGACGUCAUAGAGGGUGAGAAUCCCGUAUGUGACCGGCACGUACCCUCCACGUAGCUCCUUCGACGAGUCGAGUUGUUUGGGAAUGCAGCUCUAAAUGGGAGGUAAAUUUCUUCUAAAGCUAAAUACCGGCCAGAGACCGAUAGCGCACAAGUAGAGUGAUCGAAAGAUGAAAAGCACUUUGGAAAGAGAGUUAAAAAGCACGUGAAAUUGUUGAAAGGGAAGCGCUUACAACCAGACUUCGUGGCGGUGUUCCGCCGGUCUUCUGACCGGUCUACUCGCCGCCGCGAGGCCAGCAUCGUCUGGGGCCGCCGGAUAAGACCUUGGGAAUGUAGCUUGCCUCGGUAAGUGUUAUAGCCCAUGGUGAUGCGGCGUGCCUCGGGCGAGGUCCGCGCUUCGGCAAGGAUGCUGGCGUAAUGGUUGUCAGCGGCCCG
RNAcentral lists this ribosomal RNA (581 nucleotides) under Phaeophleospora sp. LSEM1583. Its description in RNAcentral is "eukaryotic LSU rRNA". It matches the Rfam family "Eukaryotic large subunit ribosomal RNA", at positions 44 to 651 of the family's 3401-position model. Lineage: Eukaryota; Fungi; Ascomycota; Dothideomycetes; Mycosphaerellales; Mycosphaerellaceae. The record is from RNAcentral.